This 1209-nucleotide ribosomal RNA is filed under the name Microbacterium sp. RNAcentral's name for it is "bacterial SSU rRNA". It matches the Rfam family "Bacterial small subunit ribosomal RNA", at positions 68 to 1289 of the family's 1533-position model. Lineage: Bacteria; Bacillati; Actinomycetota; Actinomycetes; Micrococcales; Microbacteriaceae. The record is from RNAcentral.
GGUGAACACGGAGCUUGCUCUGUGGGAUCAGUGGCGAACGGGUGAGUAACACGUGAGCAACCUGCCCCUGACUCUGGGAUAAGCGCUGGAAACGGCGUCUAAUACUGGAUAUGUGACGUGACCGCAUGGUCUGCGUCUGGAAAGAAUUUCGGUUGGGGAUGGGCUCGCGGCCUAUCAGCUUGUUGGUGAGGUAAUGGCUCACCAAGGCGUCGACGGGUAGCCGGCCUGAGAGGGUGACCGGCCACACUGGGACUGAGACACGGCCCAGACUCCUACGGGAGGCAGCAGUGGGGAAUAUUGCACAAUGGGCGCAAGCCUGAUGCAGCAACGCCGCGUGAGGGACGACGGCCUUCGGGUUGUAAACCUCUUUUAGCAGGGAAGAAGCGAAAGUGACGGUACCUGCAGAAAAAGCGCCGGCUAACUACGUGCCAGCAGCCGCGGUAAUACGUAGGGCGCAAGCGUUAUCCGGAAUUAUUGGGCGUAAAGAGCUCGUAGGCGGUUUGUCGCGUCUGCUGUGAAAUCCGGAGGCUCAACCUCCGGCCUGCAGUGGGUACGGGCAGACUAGAGUGCGGUAGGGGAGAUUGGAAUUCCUGGUGUAGCGGUGGAAUGCGCAGAUAUCAGGAGGAACACCGAUGGCGAAGGCAGAUCUCUGGGCCGUAACUGACGCUGAGGAGCGAAAGGGUGGGGAGCAAACAGGCUUAGAUACCCUGGUAGUCCACCCCGUAAACGUUGGGAACUAGUUGUGGGGUCCAUUCCACGGAUUCCGUGACGCAGCUAACGCAUUAAGUUCCCCGCCUGGGGAGUACGGCCGCAAGGCUAAAACUCAAAGGAAUUGACGGGGACCCGCACAAGCGGCGGAGCAUGCGGAUUAAUUCGAUGCAACGCGAAGAACCUUACCAAGGCUUGACAUAUACGAGAACGGGCCAGAAAUGGUCAACUCUUUGGACACUCGUAAACAGGUGGUGCAUGGUUGUCGUCAGCUCGUGUCGUGAGAUGUUGGGUUAAGUCCCGCAACGAGCGCAACCCUCGUUCUAUGUUGCCAGCACGUAAUGGUGGGAACUCAUGGGAUACUGCCGGGGUCAAYUCGGAGGAAGGWGGGGAUGACGUCAAAUCAUCAUGCCCCUUAUGUCUUGGGCUUCNCGCAUGCUACAAUGGCCGGUACAAGGGCUGCAAUACCGCGAGGUGGAACGAAUCCCAAAAGCCGGUCCC